AAGUCGUAACAAGGUUUCCGUAGGUGAACCUGCGGAAGGAUCAUUAACACGUAUCCAACGUUAAAAACCCCGUGAACCUUUAAAACGCUGUGUCCCAGGACUAAAUCCAGUGGCCUUAGCAAUCCCUGUACUCGUGGGAGAAAUGUAAUGAGAAGGGACUUCUGAGGUUGGCUUUCUGGUUUCAGACCGCGUCGUAGUGACUUUUUUUCCCCAAGCAAUCCGUGAGUGAAAGUGUCAUUGGUUGCGUAAGGAUUUCGCCUAGCGAUCACUGGAGGUCGAUCACCGAUCGGUGGACUAAGUCACAGGGCUUCGGCUCCCUAAUAACCCCCAUUCAAUUUGCCGCUCCGCGCUAACAACGCCGGGCACUUAAAAACGUACUAAACAACUGUUAACAAUGGAUAUCUUGGUUCUC
Molecule: unclassified non-coding RNA, 412 nt
Filed under: fungal sp.
Lineage: Eukaryota; Fungi
Description: partial internal transcribed spacer region
Rfam family: Eukaryotic small subunit ribosomal RNA (bases 1-46)
Source: RNAcentral